Long non-coding RNA from Bos taurus (domestic cattle), 445 nucleotides. Lineage: Eukaryota; Metazoa; Chordata; Mammalia; Artiodactyla; Bovidae. The record is from Ensembl.
GGGCCUUGUUUACCAGCGCUUGGUCUCCCCAUGUCAUUCUUCCCUUUAACUUCCAGCUGAGUCUCCAUCUGGAGCGCGGAACCCACCACGCUUACUAAUCAUGCCUGGGCUUCUAAGACCCACUCGAGAAAGAGUCUAGGGUGAGACACCUUCCGCUAUUCGAGAGGGCGCCUGCGGCCUACCAUAUAAAUAGUCGCCUAGGCCGUCUCUCCUUCGAAUACCCUGGAUCAGCUGGGGCUGGUCCCCGGCACAUAGUGCUUCAACUUCCCUGUUGGUCCAGUGGUUAAGAAUCCACCUGCCAAUGCAGGGGAUACAGGUUUGUUCCCUGGUCCAUGAAGAUCCCACAUGCCAUGGAGCAACUAAACCCAUGCACCACCAAAACUACUAAGCCUGCUUGCCUAGAACUUGUGCUCUGCAACAAGAGAAGCCACUGCAACGAGAAGCC